CUCCGGCGGGUUGAGCUGUGACCGAGGCAGGAGCCCCACGGGGACAGACACAACGAAGAAACACUGGCCCCGUUACAACACCACCGAGCAGAACUUCUUGCGCAUUGGCCGGAACGAGUCUCGCGUCCGAGGGCCGUUGCCGACCCAACACUGCAACUUCUGGGCCCGCCUCGAAAAGCUCUCCUAGUGCCGACUGACCCCUCUGGCUUAGGGGGCGAAGGGAGAGCUGAAGAAAGAAAGUCCCAGGAGGGACAUCUGGCUGUCCGGGGGACGGCAGGAACGCUCUUGAGGCAGGACCGAGGAUGGCUCCGUCUGUCUAUUCUCAGAUACCCCGCCCCACCGGACCGAUGCUCUGCCGACUCCUUCCCUCUCGGCUCUU
This is a non-coding RNA of Pelodiscus sinensis (Chinese soft-shelled turtle), 379 nucleotides long. NCBI's taxonomy places the organism in Eukaryota, Metazoa, Chordata, Testudines, Trionychidae. The record is from RefSeq and is a predicted model, not a curated record.